Non-coding RNA from Paramuricea clavata, 73 nucleotides. NCBI's taxonomy places the organism in Eukaryota, Metazoa, Cnidaria, Anthozoa, Malacalcyonacea, Plexauridae. The record is from the annotation of a GenBank genome assembly.
GACCGCGUAGCUCAGUUGGAAGAGCAUUGGGCUAGUAUUCCGGGGGUCGUAGGUUCGAAUCCCGCCGUGGCCG